This 432-nucleotide long non-coding RNA is filed under the name Homo sapiens (human). Its description in RNAcentral is "non-protein coding lnc-VSTM2B-9:11". The record is from RNAcentral. Lineage: Eukaryota; Metazoa; Chordata; Mammalia; Primates; Hominidae.
GGCGCCUAUGAGAGCCUCUUGGCUUUUACCUGGUCUGCGAGAAAUCAAACUUUGGGCACAAGUCAUGAAGCCGACAAGCCCGGGAGACACAGUGUCAGAAUUACAAGGUGAGAUCAGCCGCCCGGCCAAGCUAUCUUCUCGCUAGCAGUUCCGUUUCCCUCCAGAGCAUCAAGCCUCCUCCCGCCCAGGGGGCCUCCUGCUUUCCUAAGCUGCUGUGGAAUCGGCCUGAGGUCCCAGACGCUGUCCAUUGUGCUGCUGCUCUCUGCUUUCUCCAGCCAGAGUGCCAGUUCAUCCGCUUUUGGGAGAACUCCGCCGCCUGGCCUGCCCGCGGAAAAGGUCACAGCUUUGCAGGGGGUGACAUGGGCUAUGGCUUCCUGGAAAUGUCACCCUCACUAGCGCCUUUUAGAUAGAUGUGAAUUUUGAGACAUGAGG